GAGUUUGAUCCUGGCUCAGAACGAACGCUGGCGGCAGGCUUAACACAUGCAAGUCGAGCGAGACCUUCGGGUCUAGCGGCGGACGGGUGAGUAACGCGUGGGAACGUGCCCUUCUCUACGGAAUAGCCCCGGGAAACUGGGAGUAAUACCGUAUACGCCCUUUGGGGGAAAGAUUUAUCGGAGAAGGAUCGGCCCGCGUUGGAUUAGGUAGUUGGUGAGGUAACGGCUCACCAAGCCGACGAUCCAUAGCUGGUUUGAGAGGAUGAUCAGCCACACUGGGACUGAGACACGGCCCAGACUCCUACGGGAGGCAGCAGUGGGGAAUCUUAGACAAUGGGGGCAACCCUGAUCUAGCCAUGCCGCGUGAGUGAUGAAGGCCUUAGGGUUGUAAAGCUCUUUCAGCUGGGAAGAUAAUGACG
Molecule: ribosomal RNA, 419 nt
Filed under: Paracoccus carotinifaciens
Lineage: Bacteria; Pseudomonadati; Pseudomonadota; Alphaproteobacteria; Rhodobacterales; Paracoccaceae
Description: bacterial SSU rRNA
Rfam family: Bacterial small subunit ribosomal RNA
Source: RNAcentral